Molecule: non-coding RNA, 4674 nt
Organism: Cricetulus griseus (Chinese hamster)
Lineage: Eukaryota; Metazoa; Chordata; Mammalia; Rodentia; Cricetidae
Source: RefSeq, a predicted model, not a curated record
UGCAGCUCACAGCAACAGAGUUUAGACCCGUCUUUGCUUCAUCAUCUGAAGGUAAAAAAUUUUCCAGCCUCCGCCGGCGGCUCGCAGAGUACAAUAAACAGGGACGCAGAACUGUUUGCAUGGACCUCGCUCGCUCAUGAUGCGGUGGAGAAGCCGCGGCCACUCGGUGCUGCCGGAUGCUCUCGGGGCCACUGUCCAUGGGGAGGACGAGCAGAGCUGAACAAGGAAGGCUUCCAAAUCUCACUUUCUACUCCAUCACCGUCUGUGCUUAUCGGGAAGAUACAUUUCAAGCUACUCACCCUCCAACAACUUACCAACAACUCGAAAUAUAGCCGAUCUCAGAAUUUAAAAAGGACGAAGGGAAGGAAAACGCCAUCCUGCUCAGAUACAAAGAUCGGAGAGGCAAUCGUGUUUCCCAGCAUCCUCCAGAGCUGUGAGCAUCAGAACCAAUAUUUUCCCAAAGAGUGCCAUCCUAUUGAAGUCACUUUAUUAAGGAGAGGUGUGUCUGCAAAACAGUCCAGAGACUAGAACCCUGGGAGCCAGAGAUGACAGUGAGCACACUUUGCUUGAGGCUUGAUGUCGUCCAGUGGUGCCUACUGAUCUGUGAAUGACCACCUACUAAUACGUCCUCUCAUCCCUCUUUCCUGGAUUAGACUUCUGUAAGGAAUUCAUUGCCUUCAGACUUACAUGCAGGAGUUUUUACAGGAGUAGUUUUGGGAUCAUUGAGCCUUGGGUUGAUUCCAUCACUUAACAGAAAGGGACAGAACCCAGAGUAGCUCUCAUCAUGGCCUUGAACGUUGCCCCAGUGAGAGACACAAAGUGGCUGACACUGGAAGUCUGCAGGCAGUACCAGAGAGGAACGUGCUCUCGCUCUGAUGAAGAAUGCAAAUUCGCUCACCCCCCCAAAAGUUGCCAGGUUGAAAAUGGAAGAGUAAUUGCCUGCUUUGACUCCCUCAAGGGUCGCUGUUCAAGAGAGAACUGCAAGUACCUUCACCCUCCGACACACUUAAAAACUCAACUAGAAAUUAACGGGAGGAACAACUUGAUCCAGCAAAAGACUGCAGCGGCGAUGCUAGCCCAGCAGAUGCAAUUUAUGUUUCCAGGAACACCACUCCAUCCUGUGCCCACUUUUCCUGUAGGUCCCACCAUAGGGACAAACACAGCUAUUAGCUUUGCUCCUUACUUAGCGCCCGUCACCCCUGGAGUUGGGUUAGUCCCGACAGAGAUUCUACCCACCACACCUGUCAUUGUUCCCGGAAGUCCACCAGUCACUGUCCCGGGCUCAACUGCGACUCAGAAACUUCUCAGGACUGAUAAACUGGAGGUAUGCAGGGAGUUCCAGCGAGGAAACUGUGCCCGGGGAGAGACAGACUGCCGCUUUGCACACCCGGCAGACAGCACCAUGAUCGACACAAACGACAACACCGUAACCGUUUGUAUGGAUUACAUAAAGGGGCGUUGCAUGAGGGAGAAAUGCAAAUAUUUUCACCCUCCUGCACACUUGCAGGCCAAAAUCAAAGCGGCGCAGCACCAAGCCAACCAGGCCGCGGUGGCCGCCCAGGCAGCCGGCCACAGUCAUGACUCAGUCGACUGCCAAAGCACUGAAGCGACCUCUCGAAGCAACUGUAGACCUGGCUUUCCCUCCUGGUGCUCUUCACCCAUUACCAAAGAGACAAGCACUUGAAAAGAGCAACGGCGCCAGCACAGCCUUCAACCCCAGUGUCUUGCACUACCAGCAGGCUCUGACCAGUGCACAGUUGCAGCAACACACGGCGUUUAUCCCUACAGUACCCAUGGUGCACAGCGCUACGUCCGCCACUGUCUCUGCAGCAACAACUCCUGCAACAAGUGUCCCCUUCGCAGCAACAGCCACAGCCAAUCAGAUAAUUCUGAAAUAAUCAACAGAAACGGGAUGGAAUGCCAAGAAUCUGCAUUGAGAAUAACUAAACAUUGUUACUGUACAUACUAUCCUGUUUCCUCCACGAUAGAAUUGCCACAAACUGCAUGCUAAACUUAGUUCUUCUGGAGAGACCACCACCCUAAGGCUAGUUCCACUAUGUCAUAUAUGAGUAUUAAAUAUGGUAUGCUUAGUAUAUUCCAGCCUAAGAUAGAUAACUACCUGAGACCAGCUGCAAUGUUCAAAGACACAAAGGAUGAGGUUUUCUUUCCCAGGGUUGUAAGCAUAGUUUCUGUCCCUAGGAAUAUUGUCUUAUCUCCGUAACUAUAGCCGAUGCAGAAAGUACAGCCAAUAGACUCAUUUCGACUCAGAAUAUUUCAAAUUUAGCAAUAAACAGUUAGCAUUAGUUUAAGUACUUAUUCCAAGGGCAGGUUCGAUCCUAACUCCAAUCACCGUCAUUUCAUUUCCUGACUGGAUCAAAGGGUAUGGUUCACUUCUUGACAAGAUGAACGCUGCAGCAAAGACAAGAAGUGAAGUAAAACAGAUACCUGCCUGGCAGGUCUAAAAUUUGAAUGGCAGUUCAAGCACAAUUGCUGGGGACACAUCAGAGUGUGGGAUUCGGUUUGCCUGGAGAUGCCGCACUGAAUCAUGGGAUUCUAGAAUAACAUUGCAUAGAUUGAAAAAAAAAAAAAAACUUUGCACGGUAUGAGCUUCAUACCCACCCAACAAAGUCUUGAAGGUAUUAUUUUACAAGUAUAUUUUUAAAGUUGUUUUAUAAGAGAGACUUUGUAGAAGUGCCUAGAUUUUGCCAGACUUCAUCCAGCUUGACAAGAAUUGAAAGGCUCAUGCCAAUAGUUGAAUCUAAGGGAUUGGUCUUUCAAACUCGCCCUCCGGUUGCCUGUUCCCCAAUAGCUCUUCUAAACUAAAACCUAGUCCAACAGGGAAGCUGUAGGUGGGGAGGUCUGUAUAAUAUUCCAGUUUAAGUAUGUCUGAGUUUAGUCACUACAGAUGCAAACUGUGACUUUAAUCUAAAUUACUAUGUAAACAAAACAGAAGUAGAUAGUUUCACUUUUUAAAAUAUCCAUUACUGUUUUUGCAUUUCAAAAGUUGGAUUAAGGGGUUGUAACUAACUACAGCAUGGAAAAAAUAGUUCUUUUAAUUCUUUCACCUUAAAGCAUAUUUUAUGUCUCAAAAGUAUAAAAAACUUUAAUACAAGUACAUACAUAUUAUAUAUACACAUACAUAUAUAUACUAUAUAUGAAUGAAACAUAUUUUAAUGUUGUUUACUUUUUUAAAUACUUGGUUGAUCUUCAAGGUAAUAGCGAUACAAUUAAAUUUUGUUCAGAAAGUUUGUUUUAAAGUUUAUUUUAAGCACUAUCGUACCAAAUAUUUCAUAUUUCACAUUUUAUAUGUUGCACAUAGCCUACACAGUACCUACGUAGUUUUUAAAUUAUUGUUUAAGAAAUGAAACAGCUGUUAUAAAUGGAUAUUAUGUGUAAUUGUUUAAAACAUCCAUUUUUCUUUGUGGACAUUUUAGUGAUUGAAGUAUUUUGACUUUUGAGAUUGAAUGUAAAAUAUUUUAAAUUUUGGUAUCAUCGCCUGUUCUAAAAACUAGAGGCAUCAACCAUAUCAAUUUUUUGAUUGAGAAAAAAAUCUGCAUUUAAUUCAUGUUGGUCAAAGUCUAAUUGCUAUCUAUUUAUCUUACAUCAUAGACCUGAUAACUGUAACAAAAGAAAAAUCACAUUCUGAGUAUAAUCUUGCAUAGUGCUUGUAUAGUGUUUGUUUUAAUUUGUGGAGAGGUAUUGUAUCUAACUUGUAUCACUUUGAUAGUUUUCAUCUUUGUGUAUUAUUGAUCCAUGUAACUUUCUCAGUUAUAACGAUGUAGUUAUGCUACAACUUGCCUAAAACACUCAUACUUGUUUAUUUUUUUUCUUUGCUUAUUCAUUUAAACUCAUUGAGAAGACAGUAGACAUUACUAAAAGGUAAAUUAUGGGAGUCACUGAACUAUUUUUGUAGACUAAUUGUUGUAACUGUCUUUUUUUUCCUUUCAUUUCAUGAUUUUUAUUUUAAAAAUUAUUAACACAUAGAUAUUUUCAGCCCUUUAAUAAUGGAGCAUCAAAAACAUCACCUGUAUCCCCCAGCAAAUAGAGAUGACUGUAUUUUUUACUAUGAUAUCCAUUUUCCAGAAUUGUGAUUAUAAUAUGCAGAGAGUCAAAUAUGCCAUUUACAAUAAGGAGGAGGCAAGGCAAAUGCAUAGAUGUACAAAUAUAUGUACAACAGAUUUUGCUUUUUAUUUAUUUAUAAUGUAAUUUUAUAGAAUAAUUCUGGGAUUUGAGAGGAUCUAAAACUAUUUUUCUGUAUAAAUAUUAUUUGCCAAAAGUUUGUUUAUAUUCAGAAGUCUGACUAUGAUGAAUAAAUCUUAAAUGCUUUGUUUAAUUACAAAAACAAAAAAAAAAAACAAAAAAUCACCAAUAUCCAAGACAGGAAGAUGUCAGUCCAACAGCUACAGCCGUUAGGAAACUAACUUCACUUGUACAGGACUCCAUUUCACUCUUGGUUUUCAGGGUGUAACAGCACUUCACAGACGUGUUCUUUCAGUCACAUGCCACCGGUCACCUUCUGCUAAACCUUUCCGUAACACUUCUUAAAGAAUUCCCCAUUCGUUAUCUUACAGUGUAAACGGGAGUCUAAUUUGUAUCAAUUCUAUGUUUUGGUUGUAAUAUUCAGUUCACUCACCCAAUGUACAACCAAUGAAAUAAAAGAAGCAUUUAAAAGGA